ACAGCCACCUUAGUAGGAAUUUCCCCUGU
RNAcentral lists this small RNA (29 nucleotides) under Bombyx mori (domestic silkworm). Its description in RNAcentral is "ovarian small RNA-11100". The record is from RNAcentral. Lineage: Eukaryota; Metazoa; Arthropoda; Insecta; Lepidoptera; Bombycidae.